RNAcentral lists this ribosomal RNA (305 nucleotides) under uncultured bacterium. Its description in RNAcentral is "bacterial SSU rRNA". It matches the Rfam family "Bacterial small subunit ribosomal RNA", at positions 334 to 656 of the family's 1533-position model. The record is from RNAcentral.
UUCGCCUACGGGGCGCAGCAGUGGGGAAUAUUGCACAAUGGGGGAAACCCUGAUGCAGCGACGCCGCGUGAGUGAAGAAGUAAUUCGUUAUGUAAAGCUCUAUCAGCAGGGAAGAAAAUGACGGUACCUGAGUAAGAAGCCCCGGCUAACUACGUGCCAGCAGCCGCGGUAAUACGUAGGGGGCAAGCGUUAUCCGGAUUUACUGGGUGUAAAGGGGGCGCAGACGGCGAUGCAAGCCAGGAGUGAAAGCCCGGGGCCCAACCCCGGGACUGCUCUUGGAACUGCGUGGCUGGAGUGCAGGAGGG